Molecule: long non-coding RNA, 7914 nt
Organism: Xiphophorus hellerii (green swordtail)
Lineage: Eukaryota; Metazoa; Chordata; Actinopteri; Cyprinodontiformes; Poeciliidae
Exons: 2
Source: RefSeq, a predicted model, not a curated record
CUUUUUUUUUAAUGUUACAUUUAAAAAAUUCUGUGAAAUUGUUCUAUUUAACACCAGGCUGCCUCUGAAACAUUUAGCAACAAACAUGAAUCCAUUAGAAAAGAUUUGCAACCUAGACGAUGAAGUAAAGGUGCCAAAACCUGAGUCCAUGAAUAAUUGUCACUAAAAUGUGUACUAACUGAUAUCUGUGCCAUUUAGAAACACUAAAAAAAAUUGAAAACAAGAAGAGAAACUACUUCUUUAUGGAGACUCCCAAACUGAUCCUACCAAAGUAAAUGAGCUCUCCCCAGUCGGGAACCAAUUGUAAUCAAGUAUUUAUGAAGAUAAUUCUUUCAGGAUCCAAACAGCAGACAUCAGAUUGGAAAAUUAACAGAACCAGGGGGAUGGCUUGUGUCAUAAUCUGGUUUUAAAAUCUUGAUCUCCGUUUUGCAAGAUGCAAUAAGCUCAAAGUAAGGCAUAAAUUAGGAAGUGUGACAAAUGAGACAGUUGCUGAUGGUGAACUGAGAUAGCAAGCAAUGCUAAACCAGCCUGUUACAUCUAGUCACACUAAUCAGAAAUACCAUCCAGAUGAGCUCAGCCAGAAUCUUCAAAAAAAAAAAAAAAAAAAGAAAGUCUAGAUUUAAAGUGUGUUAAAGUAUUGCAUAACUCAUCUGACAUAAUCUGAUCACUGACAAACAAAGAAAGACGUAAUGAUAAUCUCUAUCAUGGCACCUGAAACUUGGUUCAACACAAAAGGCAGUAGGAACAUUUUGUUCUUAAAUGUCCAAAACUUCAGCUCUCAUUCAUGUCAUAGAUUAAGCUCAUUGAUUGUCAUGGGAUGCAAAGGUUGACCAGUGUGGUCUUAUCCAACAAAGGAUAUUUGUUAAAUGUCUUCCUACCCUAUCCUGUUUCCUCCUGUCCUACUACCUGGUAGCUCCAUACUUCACAUUCUUUGUCCAACAUGUCUGCUGUCUAUGUUCUGCACACAUUCCAGCUACAAACAACAGCUGCCUCUCUGUUUUUGCCACCAAACCGCUAAACCUGAGGCAUCCGAGAUAACUCCUUUCUCCUGUCCAUUUUAGUUACUCACAAUAAAAAUCUUGACAUCUUCAGUCAUGCCACUUUUCAGAUCUCCUUCUUGAUCACAACAUGUCUAUUUCACUCUUCUGUAUUAGUAAACUUCAUUCCCCUCUCAGAAUUAAUCUCCAAUUCAUCCAUCUAGCUAAUCUAAACCUUAAGCUAGGUUACCCUUAAGCUAGGGUAGCUAGCCCCUAAACUAGGUAACCUAGUUUUGCAGAUAGCUAUUCUAGCCCCUAAGCUAGAUCAUCUAGUUGCUAGCUAACCCAGCACCUACCUAGUUUAGUCAGAUCCUAAACUAGCUAGCUCGGUCUAGUCUCACUAUGGAUUACAAAAUCUGUGUUGUUGGCAAACAUCACGGAUUAUUAGAAACUUUCAUCCUCAUUGUCUUACAUGUUCUCCAUUGGAUAGUUCUACAUCACACCUAUAGCUAAUAUCAGUGGAAAUGUUAAAACCGAUCCCUUUGAUUACAUUUUCUGACCUUUUCUUACUUGUGUUUCCUGUGUUUUUCUGUCUUACAGUAGACCCCCAGUUCUCAUGGGCAUCAGGCACCACAGCCGCCCGGAAAUACCUCAAAUCUGUGUACCCUUGAGAUCCUCUGAAAGACACUUACAGGCGCUUAUUUUAACAGCUCAAACAUCAAAUAUACCUUGAUAUGCAUUCAUUUGUACAGCGGAAACCGUCUGCAGUCUUCCUUAUUUCUGCUCUUUAUGGUACAGUCAAUCAGCGGUAAGGAAAUAAAAAUGGCACUUCUGGAUUGGUUGAUUUGCAAAUGCCAGCCAAUAACGUGUCAAUUAGAAUUGCACAAAGGCAUUUCAGCUAGCCAGGUUGCAUGUUCUUUUUCAUUUUGUAGAUCUGGCCUACAGAACAGGUGGGUUUUUCGGCAAUAAUUUGGUGUCACGUUCCACAGAAAAAUCCACAAAUAUUGAACUGUGAACAGGCAGGAGUUCACUGUCUGUUAACGUUCACUGUCUAACUGUUAGGUUCUAUUGCAGACAUGGUAGGGCAGCUGUGGCUACAAUCCAGCAGCUUGUCAUCAUCGGCGUGUGAAUGAGUGUGUGAAUGGGAAUUACUGAUUUCAUUGCUAAGCGUCUUUGAAACGUGCUUCAUAAGACUGAUCUCAUUUCAUUUCUGAGUAAGCUAAAGUUUACACUUUAAACAGAAAAAGCAGAAACACAUUCUUAACUUAGUCAGUGCAGCAAAACACAAACUCAUCAAGAGAAGCAUAAAUAGAAAGCCAAUUAUUAUUCAAUGAGCAGAAUUUCCUCAGGACACUGGUCAUUACGCUUAAAUAUUAAUGAUAAUUAAAAUAACAUAAUGUACGCAAAAAACACCUCUGGUCCAGGUACAGUAACGUGAUAAAUCUAGAAUAUUGUUUAGUAAGAAAAAUAAUAUUUCAUUGGGUUGUCCAAUUUUUUUCACUGUGGAUGGAUUGAUGGAUAUCAAAUUAUAUUUCACAUGGUAAAUCACUGCACUACAAGCUAUUAAAUACAUUUUUCAUGAAUGCAGGCAGCAACAGCCUAUUUCGUGGCUCCACGGCGUUACGUACAAGAUAGAUGAGUUACAAUAAAACAGUGAUUUGUCCUCUGAGGCUGUAGUAGAAACAGCUUUGCCGCGUAGAUCACUCCGAGAGCAAAUUGUGAUUGCAUAAUUUUAUUGCCCUGCACUGUGGAGAUGCUGUGCUGUCCUUCGGCUGCACAAACUGAACGUGUGCUGAUAGUAGAUGACACCGUGAGAAAUAAUAUUAACGAAACACUAUUCCUUUAUCUUCUUCGUCAGUGGUCAAAUGUGUUCUCAAAUGAAGGUUGUAAUGUAGCCUGACUACGACGUCACACAACAAAACGAAAAGCUCGCACCUUUAGAAUGAAUUAGCCAUCAGCUAACACUAGGCGAUGAUAAAGCAACGAUGCAGCUCUAUUCCCUCCGCCAGAUGUUUUAGUGCAUGUUUGCACAUAAAAAUUUAUGGAAUAAAGCUUCAGCCUCCAGAGCAUCUUUGAGUUGGCAUUUUUAAUAGAAGACUAAUUGCUAACUUUUACUACCAAGAGAGAAGACGAAAAGACGGUGCUACAAAAGCAAGUUUAACGUACUGUGACCAGUACGAAUUCAUUUCAUCUGCCUUGUCUAACCACAAUAAAGGUUGCAUUUUUGAAUUCAGAUAAAUUCAUAUUGCUGCAGUGAUGUUGGCGCCAGAUGACUAAUCACCGUCAUGAAGUCCAAAUGACACGGAUCUUUCUCCUAUUAACUUGGAUUCCUCUUUUAGAUUUUCUACCAGGCCAAUCAGCAAACAUCAGGAGAACAAUGACUUUGAUUUUCUGUGCUGCUUAAGAAUAAUAGUCUGCCUGUAGUUUUAGCAACAGCAGCAGAGGAGGUGAACGAAGCCGCUCUCUCCGUGUUGGCCCCAUCUGGUGACAUGGGGGAACCCCGCCCCCAUAAAAACACAUGUUGAGAUGAUAUUAAGUUGUGGCCACAACUUGUUAUAAUGAAGUCAUUCCUAAGAUGUCCUAAGAUUAAAUCAUGGCGAUUAUUUUUUUCUCCCGCGCCCAUGUCACCAGACGGGCUCCUUAGCCAAGCCAAAUACUGAAAUAACAUUGUGUAGUCAAUAUCCUGCAAGCUUCGUAGCUAGAAUCCCUAUUUCUGAGGUUUCCUUUCCUCCGUCAUAACCCUAUUACAUGCAUCACAGACAGAGAGUACUAACUGGGUAAAAUUUCAAACCUCAACAGAGUCCAUACUUCCAAGAAGCAAUUGUUUCUCAAUAGCUGAAAAACCCAGAACCUCUGUACAAAGCACAGCGCAGAACAAGGGGCUGGUUUUUACCAGGCUAAUGCUACACUAAAACACACAAUUUUUAAUGGGAACAGAAUAACACUUAAUUAUUUUCAUUAUUAUUUAAACAAGGACCAAACUCAUGUCUUGCUACUCGACAAUACUUGGAAAGACUGUGACUCCACUUACAGCGGCAACAUUUGCUUAUAAUUACCCUAUAAAAUAACAAAAUAGAGAGUUAGGAUGGUAAACUUUAUAUUAUGAAAAUAAGAUGUUAGCUACACGUGUCCCAUGCAGAUUCCAUUAACUUAGAUUUUUAGAAAAUUAUUAUGUAACUUUGCUAUGCCUUGUAAUUCUGUGGCUGCUGCUCUUACUUUGGUAUGCUCCCUCUUGCUUUCUGCACUACAAAUACAACAAUGAUCCUGUGUUGUCUCUGGGUUUUUCACCGUCUCUGGCCCAUUCGCCCCCCUGGCCAUUCAUUCCCAUAUUUCACACGUACAUGUCGCCAUCGUUUCCCUUCCUACUUCUGUGUCGUAGCUGUAAACAAACCAUUUCAUAUCCUUGUAUUUAAACAAAUGCCUAUAUAUAUUUCUUUUUUUUUUGGUAUUUGUGCUUUUGAAUAUGCACCAUGGAGAUAAGGAAUCAUAAAAAAAUGUUUAAGAUUUAAUAUUACACCCUGUUCCCAGACCAGCUGACUCUCUUAAAAUAUUAGCCAUUAUAAUCUCUGAUUACGCCAAGAUAACUGUUCAGAGUAUCUGCAAUAUUUAUCAGUAACAUAGAGUAAGCAUAUUUCCUCACAGAAAACCAUAAACAGAAUAUAGAAAUUUACUAGAAAUCAUUGCUUGUCAAAGAGGCUGCGAAAUGAUUCCAAGGCAGAUUUAAAUGUCCCCACAGCAAGAAAAGAAUUGGGUAUAAAAUUUGUAAAACUGCAUAAUUCUUUCAUGGAAAGGUGUCCUUUCUGAACAUCUGUCUCAUUUUAGUCUGACUUUGAACCAAAUGUUGCUACUGACAGAAAAUAGUGUUGGAGAAAACGCAAGCUACGAUUGUUCUGACGUCCUUAGCCUAGCCUAGCAUUACGCCAGCAGUGCUCAAAUUAAUAGUAUAAAUGUUUGACUUUUAAAGCUAUUCAUGUUGACGCUGUCCCACCUGCUAACGGCUGUUUAAGCAUUUUUCAUUACCAGAACGUGACUUUUUUUUUUUUUUUUUACAGUCAAAAAUUAUCUGUGAAAAACUGUCUGGGUUUCUGUAGUUAUAGUCAGUGCUUAGUUACAGAUUAGCUAAGGUUUGGCUAACCCUUCAUACAUAACGAGUUGUAUAUCACAUUUUAUGCUAAAAUAAUGCCUUCCCCUCAUUAUAUUUUAACAGCUUAUGAUAAGAUGAUAAUGAUUUAGCAUUUUUUCCCCUAAUCAUUUUAAAUUACUUUCUAUGCAAGUAGGCAAAUUUUGCUGAAUUCAGUAUAACGUGCAAACACUUGGAAAAAAUUGUAGUCUACUAGGAAGUAAAUGUUGACUGCAAAGAUCUUAAAGCAGAUAAUUUCGGGAAUUACGCUUGAGAAGCAUUUAGCAACGAGUCUACAUAGCUUUGCUACCAGGUAUUGCCUGCUAUAGAGUGAAAUACAUCAAAGGUUUAUAUAAUUUUGACUAUAUUUUACAUGUCUAACCUACCGUUUUUCUGCUGUAACGUAGCACAACUGUUCAGAUUUUUUGAACAAGCUGCAAAGGGAUUUGCUUCCCGUAAAUGUUGUGUUGUCAGUUCGUGAUGAUAAAUGUGUCAGGAAACAUAAUAUAGACAUUCAUGGUGGCCUCAAAAUCCAUUGAAAACAAAACAACAACAAAAAAAUCAUUGACACAGCUGUGUAACAAACUGGACGUAGCAUACUGGUAACAUUCCACUUUUUAUUACUGGCCUACUUUGUUCAUCUUUUUUUUCCUCUUUUUUUGGUUUUUAUAACAAAAUUCCGUCGUUAAAAAUCUUUCUGUGUUAUACUUUUUAUAGAAAAUAUUUUUAAAAAAGAGCAAUUUACAGUUAUCUUACACUUCAAAUGUCCUCUGGCUUUUUGUUUUGGAACAGAUGUGACUCGUUUUGUUCUUUUGCAGCACAAGGUGUCACAGAAUAUGCAUCACAACAACAGAAGUCACCAUAGCUCAGGGGGAAAAAAAGGAACUUCUAAAAAUACGGAGACUUCAUACAAGAAAAAGAAGAAAAACAAACAAAAAAGGAAAUACAUGCAUACAAACAACACAAUGCCAUGCGAACACAGUUCAUUUUUGGGAAGUAAAUUAGUAAAAUUUGCAUUUCAGUACCGUUAUUCAAACAUUUCAUGCCAUCUCGCUAUAUAUACAUGACAUGGGUUUUACAGUAUGCGACAUUCACUGCAUCUGCUGUGGCAAAUGGCUACAAAAAGGCCUAAUUCUUCUGCAGGGGCAAUGUCUCGUCGAUGAAAUUGCAACUUCAGUGAGAAAUUCACACAAACGUUCUAACCCCGCUAACAGUGUUCAUUCAUAGUAGACUAUUGGGAAAAAAUUUUCUCUCUCGCUGUCUCUCUCUCUUUUUUUUUUUUUUUUUUUACUUCUGUCCAAAAUUUUGAAAUCAAGUUAAGGUGCACAUAAAUGUGGGCUCAGUAAUAGUCGGAUAAUUAAUAACUAAAAUGUUUGCUAUCCUUCGUGAAACAAUGCAUUUUCCACAAUGAAAUUUGCUUCUGCAUGAAGAUUGCAACGCCGCUUCCAAAUGCGGUAUUAGUGGAGCUGUACAAGGAAACCUCACCGUGUUGGUGCUGGUACAAAGAAACAAAACAGGAACUCUUUCCUCUAAACCAGCUUUAGCAGCCCUCUAGGAAGAUAUCGACUGGCAUCAGCUAUAUCUGCGCACAUAUGGGGCCCCCUCUAUUUAUUACAUGCCACCAGCUAAGACUUGCCUGCCAGAGGUCAUCUGUUGGGGUUUGUUGUGGGAGUUCAACAGGGACACUCAUCAAGCUGUGGUAGAGGAAGAUAAUGCUGUUUACCCUGGGAGGUGAAGGUACCCAUUUUAGUAUGUGUAGAGGACAAUGUAAUUAUUACUUAUGCAAUUUUAUUUGAUGUUUCGCAGCAAAGAGAAUUCAGUAGUUGCUAGGCAUGGGCUUUGUUCUAUGUCAAAUAUACCAAAGGUUAAAAGUCAAAACGAAGUCGAAAACUGCCAGCCUGGUCAUCAUUUUCCUUUACCUUCCUAUACAAUUCUCAUCUCCCUUCAGUGCUCCGUUUGGGGUUUCUCCCAUUGAGCUGGAUUUUUCCGGUAGGAUUUCAACCAAUCAGCGAACACAGGGAGGAGUCUUGACUUUGAUAUUCUGCGCUGUUUUAGAAUUGGAAUCUGCCUGUAGUUUUAGCAAUGGCAGCAGAGGAAGUGAACGAAGUCAUUCAAUUUGCUUUGGCUAUGCUCCCAAAUUUUUAAAUGAACAUUUAUAGCCGUCCUGUUUGGCUCAGCACUUCUAUUCUGGCAGUGGUGGAUGGAUUUUACAGCCCUGGCAAUUGAGCCAUAGCAUGGAGCCAAAUCACUAAACCCCAAAUUGUUUUUGUUGUCAUGGCCAAACGUUGGCGAUUGGGUAAAAUUAAAAACUUGAACAGAGUCUACCCUUACAGCAAGAAAUCAUUUUUCAAUGCCCGAGUGUCCAGACCCUCUGGUUUGGUUUUUGGGACUGGUUUUUACCAGGCUAGGAAACUGCUAAAAUGUCCUAAAAUGUCACGUUCCCACAGUUGAAAUUUUGUUCAAAGAGGAGCUAAUUACAGUGUCAUAGAUAGAACUUAAGAGUUUUCUUUUAUUCGUUUGGGGUUUAGAGUAGGGCUUCCUGCUCCAUCCUGCGUGCCAGAAGAAGAACCAAAAUCCUCAUAAUGUUUAGAGACAAGGUUAAGCCGACUGCUUCUGAAACAGAUCAGGCACAUUGUUUUCAAAAGAAGGGAUCAACAAUCACUGUUUUUUUUUUUUUGUGGGGAGGUUCCGAGGGUUUUGAAGAUGUUUGGAAUAAUUUUGAAACAAACGUUAGCAACAGGCUAUGUUUUGUUAGCAUCUAUGAAGUAAAACAAAUCCCCCAACAGUAAAGUUAUUAUUUUCUGUGACGUCCAUUCG